UAGAAAUAGGCUAUAUGUGCAUCCUAGCAUACAUUACGUAAGUAAACAUCUUUUACUCAUCUUUAUGUCCAAUACUAUAGCUAUAGUUAUUUUGUUCCUUUUUAACUAAGGUUGCUUUUACUUAGAUAUCUUUGGGAUGAAUGUGAUUGUGGAAGCAAGUUUUUUGUUAUGACCAAGCAAAAAUAACAUCACAUAUCAAGGAUCGUGAUCUCCGAUCCAGAAAUUUUGCCAACCAGUUAGAAGCGGCUACCUUGGAACAAAUAGUUCUAAUUCCGUAUAAUACUGGGUAAAUAAAUAAGAUUAACACAUUAUUAUGUUUUUCAUUGAGGUUAAAUGUAUACUCACAUUGAAGAUGUUUAUUGUAGUUUUCAUUGGAUGUUGCAUGUCAUCGAUCUUCGAGAGAACUGUGUUUAUGUUUUGGACUCUCUUCAAAAGGAUUAAAAACAUGGCAAGCUAAGCAUGAUUUACAACAUUAUCGGUCAAAUCCGAAAUGGAAACCUAUAAAGUGUCCUCGUCAAUUGGAUUCGGUUGGGUGUGGGUAUUAUGUCCAAAAGUAUAUACAUGAAAUCGUGCAUAAUUCUAGUACUCCCAUCACUAGCCUUGUAAGUUUCUACUUUCACUUUUUAUAUGUUACAAAUUACAUAAAUUAUCUA
Cucumis sativus (cucumber) is the source of this 653-nucleotide long non-coding RNA. RefSeq lists it as uncharacterized. The record is from RefSeq and is a predicted model, not a curated record. The transcript has 3 exons. NCBI's taxonomy places the organism in Eukaryota, Viridiplantae, Streptophyta, Magnoliopsida, Cucurbitales, Cucurbitaceae.